Molecule: ribosomal RNA, 568 nt
Filed under: Lactobacillus sp.
Lineage: Bacteria; Bacillati; Bacillota; Bacilli; Lactobacillales; Lactobacillaceae
Description: bacterial SSU rRNA
Rfam family: Bacterial small subunit ribosomal RNA
Source: RNAcentral
UCUUCACAAUGGACGAAAGUCUGAUGGAGCAACGCCGCGUGAGUGAAGAAGGUUUUCGGAUCGUAAAACUCUGUUGUUGGAGAAGAAUGUAUCUGAUAGUAACUGAUCAGGUAGUGACGGUAUCCAACCAGAAAGCCACGGCUAACUACGUGCCAGCAGCCGCGGUAAUACGUAGGUGGCAAGCGUUGUCCGGAUUUAUUGGGCGUAAAGCGAGCGCAGGCGGUUUCUUAAGUCUGAUGUGAAAGCCUUCGGCUCAACCGAAGAAGUGCAUCGGAAACUGGGAAACUUGAGUGCAGAAGAGGACAGUGGAACUCCAUGUGUAGCGGUGAAAUGCGUAGAUAUAUGGAAGAACACCAGUGGCGAAGGCGGCUGUCUGGUCUGUAACUGACGCUGAGGCUCGAAAGCAUGGGUAGCAAACAGGAUUAGAUACCCUGGUAGUCCAUGCCGUAAACGAUGAGUGCUAGGUGUUGGAGGGUUUCCGCCCUUCAGUGCCGCAGCUAACGCAUUAAGCACUCCGCCUGGGGAGUACGACCGCAAGGUUGAAACUCAAAGGAAUUGACGGGGCCCC